GAUGAACGCUGGCGGCGUGCCUAAUACAUGCAAGUCGAGCGAACGGACGAGAAGCUUGCUUCUCUGAUGUUAGCGGCGGACGGGUGAGUAACACGUGGAUAACCUACCUAUAAGACUGGGAUAACUUCGGGAAACCGGAGCUAAUACCGGAUAAUAUUUUGAACCGCAUGGUUCAAAAGUGAAAGACGGUCUUGCUGUCACUUAUAGAUGGAUCCGCGCUGCAUUAGCUAGUUGGUAAGGUAACGGCUUACCAAGGCAACGAUGCAUAGCCGACCUGAGAGGGUGAUCGGCCACACUGGAACUGAGACACGGUCCAGACUCCUACGGGAGGCAGCAGUAGGGAAUCUUCCGCAAUGGGCGAAAGCCUGACGGAGCAACGCCGCGUGAGUGAUGAAGGUCUUCGGAUCGUAAAACUCUGUUAUUAGGGAAGAACAUAUGUGUAAGUAACUGUGCACAUCUUGACGGUACCUAAUCAGAAAGCCACGGCUAACUACGUGCCAGCAGCCGCGGUAAUACGUAGGUGGCAAGCGUUAUCCGGAAUUAUUGGGCGUAAAGCGCGCGUAGGCGGUUUUUUAAGUCUGAUGUGAAAGCCCACGGCUCAACCGUGGAGGGUCAUUGGAAACUGGAAAACUUGAGUGCAGAAGAGGAAAGUGGAAUUCCAUGUGUAGCGGUGAAAUGCGCAGAGAUAUGGAGGAACACCAGUGGCGAAGGCGACUUUCUGGUCUGUAACUGACGCUGAUGUGCGAAAGCGUGGGGAUCAAACAGGAUUAGAUACCCUGGUAGUCCACGCCGUAAACGAUGAGUGCUAAGUGUUAGGGGGUUUCCGCCCCUUAGUGCUGCAGCUAACGCAUUAAGCACUCCGCCUGGGGAGUACGACCGCAAGGUUGAAACUCAAAGGAAUUGACGGGGACCCGCACAAGCGGUGGAGCGUGUGGUUUAAUUCGAAGCAACGCGAAGAACCUUACCAAAUCUUGACAUCCUUUGACAACUCUAGAGAUAGAGCUUUCCCCUUCGGGGGACAAAGUGACAGGUGGUGCAUGGUUGUCGUCAGCUCGUGUCGUGAGAUGUUGGGUUAAGUCCCGCAACGAGCGCAACCCUUAAGCUUAGUUGCCAUCAUUAAGUUGGGCACUCUAAGUUGACUGCCGGUGACAAACCGGAGGAAGGUGGGGAUGACGUCAAAUCAUCAUGCCCCUUAUGAUUUGGGCUACACACGUGCUACAAUGGACAAUACAAAGGGCAGCGAAACCGCGAGGUCAAGCAAAUCCCAUAAAGUUGUUCUCAGUUCGGAUUGUAGUCUGCAACUCGACUACAUGAAGCUGGAAUCGCUAGUAACCGUAGAUCAGCAUGCUACGGUGAAUACGUUCCCGGGUCU
Molecule: ribosomal RNA, 1372 nt
Filed under: uncultured bacterium
Lineage: Bacteria
Description: bacterial SSU rRNA
Rfam family: Bacterial small subunit ribosomal RNA
Source: RNAcentral